AACGAACGCUGGCGGCAGGCCUAACACAUGCAAGUCGAGCGCCCACUUCGGUGGGAGCGGCGGACGGGUGAGUAAUGCGUGGGAAUAUGCCCUUUGGUACGGAAUAGCCCUUGGAAACGAGGAGUAAUACCGUAUGUGCCCUACGGGGGAAAGAUUUAUCGCCAAAGGAUUAGCCCACGUUGGAUUAGCUAGUUGGUGAGGUAAGAGCUCACCAAGGCGACGAUCUAUAGCUGGUUUGAGAGGAUGAUCAGCCACACUGGGACUGAGACACGGCCCAGACUCCUACGGGAGGCAUCAGUGGGGAAUAUUAGACAAUGGGCGAAAGCCUGAUCUAGCCAUGCCGCGUGAGUGAAGAAGGCCCUAGGGUUGUAAAGCUCUUUCAGAUGUGAGGAUGAUGACAGUAGCAUCAGAAGAAGCCCCGGCUAACUUCG
This 431-nucleotide ribosomal RNA is filed under the name uncultured Kiloniellales bacterium. RNAcentral's name for it is "bacterial SSU rRNA". It matches the Rfam family "Bacterial small subunit ribosomal RNA", at positions 29 to 505 of the family's 1533-position model. Lineage: Bacteria; Pseudomonadati; Pseudomonadota; Alphaproteobacteria; Rhodospirillales. The record is from RNAcentral.